GAUGAACGCUGGCGGCGUGCCUAAUACAUGCAAGUCGAGCGGACGCACGAGAAGCUUGCUUUUCUGAUGUUAGCGGCGGACGGGUGAGUAACACGUGGAUAACCUACCUAUAAGACGGGGAUAACGUCGGGAAACCGGAUCUAAUACCGGAUAAUAUUUUCAACCGCAUGGUUCAAGAGUUAAUGACGGUCUUCCUGUCACUUAUAGAUGAAUCCGCGCUGCAUUAGCUAGUUGGUAAGGUAACGGCUUACCAACGCAACGAUGCAUAUCCGACCUGAGAGGGUGAUCGGCCAACAUGGAACCGGGACACGGUCCAGGAUCCUACGGGAGGCCGCAGUAGGGAAUCUUCCGCAAAGGGCGACAGCCUGACGGCGCACAGCCGCGUGAGGGAUGAAGGUCUUCGGAUCGUAAAACUCUGUUAUUAGGGAAGAAAAUAUGUGAAAGUAAUUCUGCACAUCUUGACCGUAACUAAUAAGAAAGCCACGGCCAAACACGUGC
This 498-nucleotide ribosomal RNA is filed under the name uncultured bacterium. Its description in RNAcentral is "partial 16S ribosomal RNA". It matches the Rfam family "Bacterial small subunit ribosomal RNA", at positions 28 to 508 of the family's 1533-position model. The record is from RNAcentral.